This 469-nucleotide ribosomal RNA is filed under the name uncultured bacterium. Its description in RNAcentral is "partial 16S ribosomal RNA". It matches the Rfam family "Bacterial small subunit ribosomal RNA", at positions 28 to 507 of the family's 1533-position model. The record is from RNAcentral.
GACGAACGCUGGCGGCGUGCUUAACACAUGCAAGUCGAACGAUAAUCUCCCGCUUGCGGGGGUGAUUAGUGGCGAACGGGUGAGUAAUACGUGAGUAACCUGCCCUUUACUCUGUGAUAAGCCUGGGAAACCCGGUCUCAUACUCGAUACUACUUCCCGCCGCAUGGGGUGGGGUGGGAAGGGUUUUACUGGUUUUGGAUGGGCUCACGGCCUAUCAGCUUGUUGGUGGGGUAAUGGCUCACCAAGGCGACGACGGGUAGCCGGCCUGAGAGGGUGACCGGGCAAAAUGGGGAUGGGAAUAGGCCCAGGACCCCAACGGAGGGAAGCAGGGGGGAAAUUUGACAAAGGGGGGGAGGCCGAUGGAGCGACGGCGCGGGGGGGGUGAACGGCUUCGGGUUGUAAACCCCCUUCAGCAGGGAAGAAGCCACGAGUGACGGUACUGGGAGAAGAAGCGCCGGCUAACUACGUG